This 505-nucleotide ribosomal RNA is filed under the name uncultured bacterium. RNAcentral describes it as "bacterial SSU rRNA". It matches the Rfam family "Bacterial small subunit ribosomal RNA", at positions 1024 to 1529 of the family's 1533-position model. The record is from RNAcentral.
GAACUGUGAGACAGGUGCUGCAUGGCUGUCGUCAGCUCGUGUUGUGAAAUGUUGGGUUAAGUCCCGCAACGAGCGCAACCCUUAUCCUUUGUUGCCAGCGGUCCGGCCGGGAACUCAAAGGAGACUGCCAGUGAUAAACUGGAGGAAGGUGGGGAUGACGUCAAGUCAUCAUGGCCCUUACGACCAGGGCUACACACGUGCUACAAUGGCGCAUACAAAGAGAAGCGACCUCGCGAGAGCAAGCGGACCUCAUAAAGUGCGUCGUAGUCCGGAUUGGAGUCUGCAACUCGACUCCAUGACGUCGGAAUCGCUAGUAAUCGUGGAUCAGAAUGCCACGGUGAAUACGUUCCCGGGCCUUGUACACACCGCCCGUCACACCAUGGGAGUGGGUUGCAAAAGAAGUAGGUAGCUUAACCUUCGGGAGGGCGCUUACCACUUUGUGAUUCAUGACUGGGGUGAAGUCGUAACAAGGUAACCGUAGGGGAACCUGCGGCUGGAUCACCUC